Molecule: small nuclear RNA, 20 nt
Filed under: Arabidopsis thaliana (thale cress)
Lineage: Eukaryota; Viridiplantae; Streptophyta; Magnoliopsida; Brassicales; Brassicaceae
Description: snRNA_02218
Source: RNAcentral
UACGGGCGAGAGACCGAUAG